ACAGGGAUAAUGGAGUGAUGGAGGUAGAUAUGUAUAGGGGGAAGGGGACAUGGAUACUGGAGUGAUGGAGGUAGAUAUGUAUAGGGGGAAGGAGACAGGGAUACUGGAGUGAUGGAGGUAGAUAUGUAUAGGGGGAAGGAGACAGGGAUACUGGAGUGAUGGAGGUAGAUAUGUAUAGGGGACAGGGAUACUGUAGUGAUGGAGGUAGAUAUGUAUAGGGGGAAGGGGACAGGGAUACUGGAGUGAUGGAGGUAGAUAUGUAUAGGGGGAAGGGGACAGGGAUACUGGAGUGAUGGAGGUAGAUAUGUAUAGGGGGAAGGGGACAGGGAUACUGGAGUGAUGGAGGUAGAUAUGUAUAGGGGGAAGGAGACAGGGAUACUGGAGUGAUGGAGGUAGAUAUGAAUAGGGGGAAGGAGACAAGGAUACUGGAGUGAUGGAGGUAGAUAUGUAUAGG
This 454-nucleotide long non-coding RNA is filed under the name Salmo salar (Atlantic salmon). Its description in RNAcentral is "lncRNA (ENSSSAG00000097859.1, ENSSSAG00000102933.1)". The record is from RNAcentral. Lineage: Eukaryota; Metazoa; Chordata; Actinopteri; Salmoniformes; Salmonidae.